GGGGAAUAUUGGACAAUGGGCGGAAGCCUGAUCCAGCAACGCCGCGUGAGGGAUGACGGCCUUCGGGUUGUAAACCUCUUUCAGUACUGACGAAGCGCAAGUGACGGUAGGUACAGAAGAAGCACCGGCCAACUACGUGCCAGCAGCCGCGGUAAUACGUAGGGUGCGAGCGUUGUCCGGAAUUAUUGGGCGUAAAGGGCUCGUAGGCGGUUUGUCGCGUCGGGAGUGAAAACCUCAUGCUUAACAUGUGGCUUGCUUUCGAUACGGGCAGACUUGAGGCAUGCAGGGGAGAACGGAAUUCCUGGUGUAGCGGUGAAAUGCGCAGAUAUCAGGAGGAACACCGGUGGCGAAGGCGGUUCUCUGGGCAUGUUCUGACGCUGAGGAGCGAAAGUGUGGGGAGCGAAC
Molecule: ribosomal RNA, 405 nt
Filed under: uncultured bacterium
Lineage: Bacteria
Description: bacterial SSU rRNA
Rfam family: Bacterial small subunit ribosomal RNA
Source: RNAcentral